Carcharodon carcharias (great white shark) is the source of this 716-nucleotide long non-coding RNA. RefSeq lists it as uncharacterized. NCBI's taxonomy places the organism in Eukaryota, Metazoa, Chordata, Chondrichthyes, Lamniformes, Lamnidae. The transcript has 3 exons. The record is from RefSeq and is a predicted model, not a curated record.
CGCAGCAGAGCUUGGAAUUAAAAAGCAAGGGAUUUAUAUUAAACUUAGAACCUUAGAUUGGCCUGCAGCUUUGUUACUUUCAAUGUUGUGAUGUCCCAGAGAGCUUCAAAGAGAGUGUAACAUGACACUAAUGAAAGACAAGCUGAUUUAUCUUUAACAAAAACAAAAAUUGCUGGAAAAACUCAGCAGGUCUGACAGCGUCCAUGGAUAGAAAGACAGGGUUAACGUUUCGAGUCCGUCUGACUCUUCUUCAGAGCUAAAGAGGAGGAGUAGAAAUGUGGUGAAAUAUAUUUAUUUGAACGAGAUGCGAUAUGAAGUGAGUCUAUCCCUGUGGCCACAUCCUCGAUUGCUGCCUCCGAUUUUGGCCGGAGAUCGGAUGAUUGUUCCUGACCGGGAUUGGAGUCUGGGCUGGUUCUGCUUUCCAUCCAUUCAGCUCCCCCAUCUUCCUGUUUUUCCUGAUUUUUCUGUUCCAGGGUCUGGGUUACAGCGGACCCCCACACCCUCCCCAAGCUCCUUCCUGCCGUGUCGAAAUUUUUAACCUUCAUCACUCUGCAUCAUUGUCCACGGUUGCUGCGCGUGGGUUUGAUUGCACUUGUUUCCUGCUGUUGUCUAAAUAAGGAAUAGCAAAAAUGUUGCAAACAAUGAGAUGGAUGCACCAGCACCUUCCAAACCCACGACCUCUACCAUCUGGAAGGACAAGGGCAGCAGACGCAUGG